Molecule: ribosomal RNA, 515 nt
Filed under: uncultured bacterium
Lineage: Bacteria
Description: bacterial SSU rRNA
Rfam family: Bacterial small subunit ribosomal RNA
Source: RNAcentral
GAUGAACGCUAGCGGGAGGCUUAACACAUGCAAGUCGAGGGGCAGCAUAGGGUAGCAAUACUCUGAUGGCGACCGGCAAACGGGUGAGUAACGCGUAUGCAACCUACCCUGUACAGGGGGAUAACCCGGAGAAAUUCGGACUAAUAUCCCGUAAUAAUAUCCGGAGGCAUCUUUGGAUAUUUAAAGUUCCGACGGUACGGGAUGGGCAUGCGUAACAUUAGCUGGUUGGUAAGGUAACGGCUUACCAAGGCUAUGAUGUUUAGGGGUCCUGAGAGGGUGGUCCCCCACACUGGUACUGAGACACGGACCAGACUCCUACGGGAGGCAGCAGUGAGGAAUAUUGGUCAAUGGGCGCAAGCCUGAACCAGCCAUCCCGCGUGCAGGAAGACGGCCCUAUGGGUUGUAAACUGCUUUUCCAGGGAGAGAAACUUACGCACGUGUUGCGUGACUGACGGUACCCUGGGAAUAAGCAUCGGCUAACUCCGUGCCAGCAGCCGCGGUAAUCAUACUCGUAC